ACCCUGUUCCUCCUCAGGACCUGCAGCCGUAAGCGGCCGCACCGCCUUGCCCUGGUUCUUGUUCUGCUUCUAGGGUUGUCCGAGUUAUGUGCUAGUGGAUGACCUGUAGAUUUGUUUUAGCGUUGCUCGUAGAUUUGUCCCUCGCGCAUCGCAAAAACUGAUUACCGGCGGAUCUCAUGGCCGCCGCGUAUGAGACGAUGCCACAGCGACCCGCCCCGCCGUCGCCGUCCUACAUGGCCUCACCCACCUCCGUGGUGGGCCAGUAGGCGACGGCGGUGUACAUUGCACGGCCCCCUUACGACUCCGUAGGCUACAUUACAGUACGGUUCUUUAGAUUUGCAAUGGAUUUAGCCUGCUGUGGUCGAGUAGGUGAUGGUGUUGUCGUACACUGCCGAGUUGACUUGCGAUUCUGUAGAUUUAUCAGGGGUUUGUUCUGAUUAGGCGAGGUCUCUGUUCUGAUUAGGCGUUGGUGUUUGGUUAGUACCUUCAGACAUCACACUAGCUACAUGACGAGGUCUCUGUUCUGAUUAGGCGCUGGUGUUUGGUUACUACCUUCAGACAUAAGCAACUAUUACUAGGGCUAUGAUUAUGCAGAUGUCGCACGAGCGUGUGUAUGUAGCAGCUUUUAGGCGAUGGUAUUUCGUUCUUACUUUUGUUUCUUGGAGGAUUAUUGAUGAUGCAGAUGAUGAGACACAAGUUUUAUGGGUAAUUUGCGUCUGAGGCAUUUCAGUGAUGUCACACCCUUUUCACCUUGGAGAUCUGAUGCGUAUCUGAUAAUACCCUCUUCGUUUGGUUUUGUUUGUUUCUGAUUCGUUUGGGGUGAGAUGAGGAUAUAAUUACAUUGUUGAUGGAUGGUAUGAUGUCCAAUGAAUCAUGUAUUAGCUCUAUCUGAUCAUACCCCACACUGAUUUAUCUAAGAUGAGGAGACACGAGUUUAUGGGUAAUUUGCGUCUGAGGCAUUUCAGUGAUGUCACACUCUUUUCACCUUGGAGAUCUGAUGCAUCCGCUCUACUCAUUUCUUCUUUUGUUUUGUGUUUUCAAGUCUGAGAGAUGAGAUGAUGAAUGAGAUUAAUUUCCCUAUUGGUUUGAUUAGCUGACAUGAUGGCCUACAUACUGAACCGAAUCUGAUCAUCCUGCCUUCUGUGAUAUGGAGAGAAAGCAUUUAUAGUUGAUAGAUAUGUUUGUGUUUGUUGCAGAAUGAUAAAAGCAGUGUUAGAUCAAUUUAGAUAGAAUGGGUUGAUGCAGAUGAUGAGACAUGAGUUUAUGGGUAAUUUGCAUCUGAGUCAUUUCUGUGAUGUCACACUCUUUUUCACCUUGGAGAUCUGAUGCAUCUGCCCUCACUAUUGUGUUUCUACUUGCUAGUAUAUUUUUCUUUAAAAGAAUCAUUUUUGCCUUUAGUAAGCGAGAGAUGAUAUGAUGAAUGAGAUUAAUUUCCCUAUUGGUUUGAUUGGCUGAUAUGAUGGCCUAAAAUACUGAACCGAAUCUGAUCAUCUUGCUUUCAACUCUCAAUGAUAAAGUCCAAUCUGUUUUUUUCUUGCCUUGCUUUAACAUUGUUUCAUCAAUUUGAUCUAAUCAUUUUCUAAUUUAAUCGGUGGAGGUGAGAUGAUGAAUGAUUAAUUUCCCUAUUGGUUUGAUUGGCCAACAUGAUGGCCUAAAUACUGAACCGAGUCUGAUCACCAUCCCUGGUUUGAUAAAAAAAAUGUGAUUUUAGCUUCUAGUUUUGAAAGGUUGCAGCUCUGCCUGUAUAUUGGUUUUAAAAUUGAGUUUGAUUGGUUUCGAAACAACCGGCAAUGUUGAUGCAGAUGAGGAGACACAAGUUUUAUGGGUAAUUUGCGUCUGAGGCAUUCUAUGAUGUCACAGCUUUUUCACCUUGGAGAUCUGAUGCAUCCCUGAAUUCUGUUGGAUUUUGCCCUAUGUGCAACCUGAAAUUCCAGUUUACCAUCUGUGAUUCUAUUGUUUUCUUUUUGCUUUUUAUCUAGUGUAAUUGAAGUCCUUGUGGUUCAUCUGAUUUAGAGUAGAAACAUGUGGUGGUGCAAUGAUUAUAAAACAUUCCUCGUACUGAUGGGAGAUCCACGUGAACGACUCCUAUACACCCAUAGAAUCUGAGCAUUACCAAACCACUAUUCUACUGGAUUUGUUGGAUACUUGUUUUCUGUGUUUAUUUGUUCUGCGGUUUGUUUUGCAUUUUCAUUAGAUAGUAUUGUGUUGAAUUAUUUGAAAAUUUGUCAAUUUCAGAGGAAAUGUUUGGGUGACUUUACUUGUCUUAACUUCUCUUUUCGUAAUUCAAUGUUUUAAAUCUUGUGCUGCUGGUUUCAUUUGUGCAGUGAUUAUAAAACAUUCCUCGUACUGAUGGGAGAACCACAUGAAUGACUCCUAAUACACCCAUAGAAUCUGAGCACCAGUAAACUCGGCCUUGGUCAACUAUUAUUUCUCAAACCAUUUUGUUUUGAGGACGGUUAAGGUUAAUAUUUGAUCUUGACCAGUCUGUUUUUUUUUGAAGAUGUUUUGCUUUUGUAAGUGGCGUGUUCAUUGGUGGCCAAUGAUUAAAGUAAUUUAAUAGACAAGCAUAUGUCUGAAUUUUCUUUAUGUGGAAUCAUCUAAUCUUCUCUAUGAGGCUAAUGAUCUUGCUCAUUUAUGUAUCUGCAGUUACAUUUAUUGUGUUUUAUGUCUUCAUGGUGCUGGUGAUGAUUAGUGUGAACCUUUCUCAAUGAAAUCACAAAUGAUUACAUAACCUACUGCCUUCCUUCUGAGGCAUCAUGAUUCCUGGUGUUCUAUUUCUGUUUUUCUUUUCUUUUGUUUUUAUUUUCAUUGAAUUGUUGUUUGCCCGAGGUCAACUGAUGAUUACAAGUGCAUAGUUCAUAUGAUAAAAUCAUGAUUACAUGAACGAAAAUAGUCUUUCGCUCCUAUCUGAUGACCCUUAAACCUAACCCUUUUUGCAGCAGAAUCAAACAAUUUCGUUCAUCUUUCCUAACACUUUUUAUUUGAAAAUCAAAACAAUUAAUUUACUAUGAUUUUCCUUCGAGGACGGUGAAGAUUGAUAUUUGGUCUCGUUCGUCGUAACUGGCAUUUAUUUGCCUUGCCGACCAUCCUGCUAUAUCACCACCCAUAUUCUGAGUCCUCUUAUUACUUUGUAUAUUGGAAACUGACAUGUUAAUUCUUUUUCAGGAUCUGUCCUUUGUUUGAACUAAAGUAUUUGAAUCACCUUCUAUUGGACUAAUAAAUAUCUUAUUUGUUUAUUUGCCGGGAUGUGAGCAGUGAUGAGACAAUUCUAUAAAUAUGAUCUUCCAGGUGUGAUUAUCAAACGCUACGUUCUUCCUGAGCUCAUAUCCCGUUUGCCAUUUAAAUUCUGUUAGAUUGCAAUAGGAAUUUUUUUAUCAUGCAUACAAUAAGUACAUUGAUGGUUGUAAUGAUUUUCCAAUCCAGUUUUGAGGAUGAUGAUUUCAUAUUUGUCGCCCCAGUCUUAUGGUCUGCAUUGUUGGAUCUGUGCUGAUUGACAUUUCUGAAUCUGACUCUGUGGAAGUUGAUAUCAUAUUGUGAAGUCCUCUUAUCCCUCCUAUACAUUCACAGAUUUGUUUCAGUCCUGUCUUCCAGUUGGUUCUGUUUUCAAUAUAUACUUCUUUUCCUGUGAUGGCAGUGACGAUUUGCAAAUAUUCAAGCUCAACAGACCAAAUCACAGGUUUUCUCUCAGGAGUUGAUAUGUAUGCCGAUUAUCCCGCUGAACCGAGCCAUCUCCCACUUGAUUUUUUUGGUCUGCCAUUCCUUGUUCUUCUCUUUUUGUGUUUGAUUUUGUUUGUUGUAUUUGGUGAUGUAGUUGCGAUGAGGAUAACAAGCUCCCUCUUCUGAAAGCAUUGACGAAAUUGCUGGCAGAAUCGAACCUAUUAAAUAUUGCCACCACUGAGCAACUUUAUAUCUCUUUUUGCUGUCAUUUUAUAUCUCCUUUUGCUGUUAUUGAUCGUUUGCGUCUUUACCUUCCAGUUUUAAUAUUUGUGUGGGUUGUGCCGAGGUAUUGAUGCGUGAUCUAACACUUAUCCUAGGGUUGGCUCUCCGAUGAUGUUAAAUUUUGUAGUUAUUAAUUUUGUCAAAUUAGGUCAUUAAUGCAGUUGAAGCCAAUGAUGAUUAGCUUUUAUGUUGGAAUUACCGUCAGAUAGCCAAUGACGAUAUAUUUUGCGGCUUUCUGAAGUUUUAUACUGCUAGUCUCUUGGAAAUGGUCUUGGCUUAAAUCCUCAUUUGCACCCUAUUUGGUUCAGCUGUCUGGUCUGCUGGUUUCUUUACUCUGUUUUUUUCAACUAUUUGCAUGUCUUGAUAGUCCAUUUGAUCCGAUGGAUUGGGGAAAUGUUAUGUGGCAGUGAUGAUAAAUUUAAGGCUUGUUUCUCAAAACAUUCGCAGUUGCCGCCUAAGAGCUUUCGCCCUGCCAGGCUAGAGAGCUAAUGCUGCUAAUUCCUUCCUUGGAUGUCUGAGCCUCGUUCACAUCUCCUCCCCAUUUCAUAUUUAUAUCAAUUUUAGUUUAUUGUUUUUGCUGCUUGUUUAAUUGCAUUGGCUUGUUUUUCAAACAUUUUGCUUUCUCUGGUUUUUGCUCUGCCAUGUUUCAUUCUCUCAAGCUGAAUUUAUAUGCUAAUUAUUGAUGGGAAGGCGAUAAUGGAAGGGUUGAAGGCUUGGAAGUCCCCUUGACAAAGUUUUACAAACCAACCGGCCUCUAUGGAGUCGUUGAUGACCAUCCGUCUGCGGCUUUGGUUGCAUGUGGGGUGUAGUUAUAAUCUACUGUGUAUGAGGUCCCUUAUAUUUUUGGGUGUAUGAAGUCUGCUUAAUCAUCCAACCUACCAUAUUGUAAUUAGGGAAUCUACUUUUCCCAACGUCUGGCGGCUCUGUCCACAACCCGCUCGUCGUGGAACCUGUGCCGCGUCUGUAGAGUGUCAGGCGAUAUAUAUUCUCUGUAAACAGUAAUGAAGGAUUGCGAUAUAUAUUAGUGAGGACAACCGCCAGGACCGGUUCCUGGCCCGUUGUCGUCGCUGGACAUGGCUAGAGCUCAGCUGGUUGCGCUGCCCGGGGCGGUAGUUAUCGCGUCUCUGGACACACGACGGGUCGCCAGCAUGCCAUGGCUGCUCGCCGGCUCGGCUGUGCAGAUGCUUCAUGCGGACCCGCCUCCGCCGGCGCAUUGGCUGCCUUCGCACAUGCUUACCCCUGUUGCCGAGGACGCUGGCCUAAGUCACCGCCCGCCCUGUUUCUUACCUGUGCCGAUGUGUGCGGAGGUGACCACGGUGGAGGCGCUCGCCUUCGUCGACCGGUGCCUCCGGCGUCAUGCACUAGCAGCCGUGCCGUCGGCCGCCUCUUCAAGCGGGUCGUCGCUGCCAUCAACCGUCGGCUCGGGUGCCGUGCUGGCUUGUGGGCUCCGGCGAGCCUUGUCCUCGGCACGACGUCUCCUCUUCUUCUGAGUGUGCUGCGCUGGUGAUCACCGGAGAAGCCAGGGAGGCAGCAGCCCACGAUCCCGCCGGCGGGCUUCCUCUUGUCUUGCACAUGUGGUGGGUAUGGCUUCGUGCGGUGGUGGGGAUGGCCAGGAGGUGGGGAGGGAGGGGUGCUGGUCCGAUGGAUCUUUUAUUCAAACCGAUCCCACCUCCUCUCUUAUAUGGGGUGCUGCAGUGUGCUGCCGAGGCACCGCACGUGUUGCUUCGGCGGGCCGCUGUUCUAUUUAUUUUUCUUUUUUCUUAUUUUUCUGUUUACUAGUUAGUAUUAAUUAUUGUAUAUAGUAUAGUUUUAGAUUAUGUUUAGUACUGUUUUACUCUAGUUUAAGAUUUGUGUAAUUAUAAGUGUGUUUAUAUUAUGCAAUGGAUUGAUGAUAUGCAUAAA
Molecule: long non-coding RNA, 5841 nt
Organism: Hordeum vulgare subsp. vulgare (domesticated barley)
Lineage: Eukaryota; Viridiplantae; Streptophyta; Magnoliopsida; Poales; Poaceae
Exons: 2
Source: RefSeq, a predicted model, not a curated record